RNAcentral lists this ribosomal RNA (254 nucleotides) under uncultured bacterium. RNAcentral's name for it is "partial 16S ribosomal RNA". It matches the Rfam family "Bacterial small subunit ribosomal RNA", at positions 524 to 776 of the family's 1533-position model. The record is from RNAcentral.
UACGAAGGGGGCGAGCGUUGUUCGGAUUUACUGGGCGUAAAGGGCGCGCAGGCGGUUUGUCGCGUCUGCUGUGAAAACCCGAGGCUCAACCUCGGGCCUGCAGUGGGUACGGGCAGACUAGAGUGCGGUAGGGGAGAUUGGAAUUCCUGGUGUAGCGGUGGAAUGCGCAGAUAUCAGGAGGAACACCAAUGGCGAAAGGCAGAUCUCUGGGCCGUAACUGACGCUGAGGAGCGAAAGCAUGGGGAGCGAACAGG